This 243-nucleotide ribosomal RNA is filed under the name uncultured Actinomycetales bacterium. RNAcentral describes it as "partial 16S ribosomal RNA". It matches the Rfam family "Bacterial small subunit ribosomal RNA", at positions 88 to 334 of the family's 1533-position model. The record is from RNAcentral. Lineage: Bacteria; Bacillati; Actinomycetota; Actinomycetes; Actinomycetales.
UACUCGAGUGGCGAACGGGUGAGUAACACGUGGGUGAUCUGCCCUGCACUUCGGGAUAAGCCUGGGAAACUGGGUCUAAUACCGGAUAGGAGCCAUUUUUAGUGUGAUGGUUGGAAAGUUUUUUCGGUGUAGGAUGAGCUCGCGGCCUAUCAGCUUGUUGGUGGGGUAAUGGCCUACCAAGGCGGCGACGGGUAGCCGGCCUUAGAGGGUGGACGGCCACAUUGUGACUGAGAUACGGCCCAG